RNAcentral lists this long non-coding RNA (880 nucleotides) under Marmota monax (woodchuck). The record is from RNAcentral. Lineage: Eukaryota; Metazoa; Chordata; Mammalia; Rodentia; Sciuridae.
UACGAAAUAUAUUUUGUUCAACAGAGUUAUAGAAAUAAAAACUCUUCAAAAGAAGUAUGUGUGUUUAAAAUCCAAAUUAUAAAAUAAAAAUCCUGAGAGUAUCAUGACCCAUCGUGUGAUAAAGACACAAAGUUUCUGCGUGGAUUACAGUUGUAGCCACCAUUGACUGAUGGUAAAUUUGGAGGGCACUGAUCUGCAAGCACAAGCAUAUGAAGUAAUUUGAAAACAAAACAACCUCACAAACUGAUGAAUUCUGCAUACCGGCUCUCAGAAUGUUAGGGAACAGAGACAUGUGGAUGGUGAGAACACGAAGUUAAGGGAAUAAUUCUAUAAAAUGGGCCCAUUCUUCUGACCCCCACAUGUUUUGUUUUCCAGGAAGCAAUUUACGUGCAGUUCUACGUGGCCUGAGUGGACAGAAUAUAUUGCAUUCCUCAGCAAACUACCUGUUAUCUACAGGAGAAAUGCAAAUAAUGUCGAUUGAAGGAAUCCUGAUUACCCUGAAGGGGGACACUUUUGAAACCUUUUCUACGCACCUGAUCCUGAAACCCAGGGAGAUAAGGCUAAUUCCUCCUGACAAUAAAAUCUAUAAGAAUUUAUGAUUAAGAAUCCAAUUAAAACUAAUCAGCAUGGGCCAAUGAGACCUAGAAAUGUCAUGGAGAGGGGACUUAAAAGUCUGAGGUCAUCUUGCUGUCAGCCAAAAGUUGAAAGGUAGAAGUGAGUGAGACUCUCUGGAAACUUCUUUGGGAUCCCCAAUAAAACUACAGUGCAGGAAAGGCAUAUUGUCCCUCUCCUUUCUGAGAGGACCCACUCUCUCCCUUGAAAAUAUCCCCUGCCUCAUUUGCCAUCCCUUCAAUAAACUCAUGCCUGUUACUCUGAGCAA